Molecule: long non-coding RNA, 1819 nt
Organism: Phycodurus eques (leafy seadragon)
Lineage: Eukaryota; Metazoa; Chordata; Actinopteri; Syngnathiformes; Syngnathidae
Exons: 3
Source: RefSeq, a predicted model, not a curated record
GUAUAUUGCAGGAAGGCCCCCAUCGGGGGGUAUUUGGCCCCCAUCAGGGGGGUAUUUGGAGACAGAUGUCAAGGAAGAAAGGAACUGCGGGGAGCCACUAUAAACAUUGAAUGCAGGAGACAUCUGCAGGCGGCGUCUGGAGCCAGAUCAGAUAAGUCAUCAUUCUGCCGAACAACGAUGACGUCAGAUUACGGACCAAUCAGACGACAGCGAUUCCAUACUGGCCUGUUUGAAACAUUGCAUAAGUCUGGGGUAGAGUCAGAUAGUUUUUGUUCGACUACGGGAGUUAGGAGAUUUUAAAACACAGGUUCCUUCAAAAUUUUGCUUAGUAGCAGUCUAAUUGCUAAGUGAGAGCAAUAUCACCUCGAGACAGCUUUAGCAUGAGUUGUAUCCUCUGGGCUAAACUAAUUUUUUGUGUCAGCAGAUGGUCGUGACCUGACAGACGCUUUGGUGGCUCUCCUGGCUGUCAUCUUGGAUGACACUACUGAUGCGGCCCUCUUCAGCCCUGAGAGCAUUUCUAUUGCUAUUGAGGAUGAAAUACUUCUGACUGGACCCACAAAUCUGGCUGAGUCAUUUCUUCUGCUGUUUGGGGACAUAUAUGCACUCAACCUAAAGUAUCCUAAAUUAUCUCAAGCUUACCGUCAUGAUUUUCCCAAACAUUUUAAUUUGUCUUGAGGACAACAAGCCACUGAAAGGGCAUCUACAGACACUGAAGAAUGAAUUGUUCAGUGAGUAAAUCACAGUAUUUGUUGACCUUAGUAUUUAGGAGUGAGUUUGUUUUUGUGCCUCUUCUACAUCACUAUUGCACUUUUUGCCUUUUCUUAACUUAUUCACUGCCAAUGCCGUCCAAAGACAUCAAUGGCAUUUUUUAACGGGGAUGGGUGGUGGAGGUUCUUGUGCAGUUUAUGUAUGAUUGUCAAGCCUCUGGAUAACUGCAAUGAGGAAUGGCACCCUGUAGAGGGCAACAAUGCCUCGAGGUGACUGUCCCUCCCUCAGAGGAAGAAGAAGGAGUGGGCAGGGUACAAGAGACAACGAUAAAAGGCAAAUACAAUGGCGGAAAAAGAGAGAAGACAAAAUGAAAACAAUUUAACAAAAAAAGCUUUCGGUACGAGAAAUUUAUUGCGCCAAGGCAAGAAAAAUAUUCCUGCGACCGACAGGAAUGACGCCUUGGAUUAUGCGGGGAAUAAAGGUCGACGCUCCGAGACGAUCGCUUUAUUGCAAAGCUAUCGCCCAAAAUGCCAGCCCAUACAUAUGGCGAGAUGCUCUGAGCCACUUGGCGGCUGAUCGUCUGCCGACCAGGAUUUUAAUAAAUGGGAUCCGGAAUCGUGAUGAGUGAACUCCCUCUGGAUAGCAUCGAAGCAGCCGAGCUUCAUCCCGAGCUUCCUCCGACGAAGAUAACUCAUUUGCAGCUAGCGUUAGCUACAUCUAGCGCGCAAACACACUCCUUCAACCCUGGUUACAUAAAAACAUUUUAGUCCCCACUAGUUCACAUUACAAUGUAACAUCUGUUGUCAGUACAGGAAUUCAAGACCCACAAGUCGAACGUCUUUUAGGAUUGCGACAAAGAAAAGUUAUGCAUCAGCAGACAUUUGACUCCCAUUCCAAUACACAGUGCAGACAAAAAAGGUUGUGCUUUGAGCAGAAGUUGGGACUGGUUUCAAGGAGAAUGACAACCAGACAAGAUCCCAUUCACUGCCACAGAAGAAUAAAAUCCAGAUGUGGAUCAAACUUUGCUAGAUUUUAUGCGCAAUGUAAUAAAAACCUACACUAUUGAGCAAACAGUAGAUGAGGAGAAUUGGGAGGAAGAAAGUGCAAGUGU